Molecule: long non-coding RNA, 252 nt
Filed under: Elaeis guineensis (African oil palm)
Lineage: Eukaryota; Viridiplantae; Streptophyta; Magnoliopsida; Arecales; Arecaceae
Description: long non-coding RNA (EGUI_LNC018831)
Source: RNAcentral
GGGCCAGUGCAGGGGGUGGCGCAGAGGCAAAAGGGCCGAGGGCAGUGCUGGAGAUGUGACGGUUGAUGGGCUGGGGGUGGACGGCCGGGGGGCUGGGGGUGAAGUGGUUGGGGGUUAGAGGGUUGUGGCAUGCGAGGAAAAGAGGAAGGAGAAAAAAAUAAAAAAUAUUUUUAAAAAAUUAUAUUUUAAAAAUUAAUAAUUUAUUAAUAAAAAUAAUAAAAAUAAUAAUAAAUAUUAAAAAAUAAUAUUGAA